RNAcentral lists this long non-coding RNA (4826 nucleotides) under Podarcis lilfordi (Lilford's wall lizard). The record is from RNAcentral. Lineage: Eukaryota; Metazoa; Chordata; Lepidosauria; Squamata; Lacertidae.
CCCGUCCAGGGGUCCUUUACCUUUACCUUUCAGUAGUUUGUAUCCUGGGACGCGGAUGGCGCUGUGGUCUAAACCACAGAGCCUAGGGCUUGCCGAUCAGAAGGUCAGUGGUUCGAAUCCCCACGAAGGGGUGAGCUCCCGUUGCUCUGUCCCAGCUCCUGCCCACCUAGCAGUUCGAAAGCACAUCAAGUGCAAGUAGAAAAAUAGGUACCACUCCGGCAGGAAGGUAAACAGCGUUUCCGUGCGCUGCUCUGGUUCACCAGAAGCAGCUUAGUCAUGCUGGCCACAUGACCCAGAAGCUGUCUGCAGACAAACGCCGGCUCCCUCGGCCUAUAGAGCGAGAUGAGUGCGCAACCCCAGAGUCGUCCACGACUGGACUUAAUGGUCAGGGGUACCUUUACCUUAGUUUGUAUCCAGGCAUGACUAGACCUGUAGAGCUUCAGCAUUUAUUAAAUAAAUAUUUUUUAAGAAAAAUCCAAGGGGGCACAGGUUCACCAUCCCUGCUUUUUUUAAAAACAGCAACACAGUACCAUACUGAAAAAGCAGGAAUAUGAAACUUCUCAGCUGAUUUGAUAUGACCAUUCAAAUAAAGUGCGCUCUCGAGAUCUUUGUGACUCAGCCUUUGAGAUUCAAAAUAAACCAUCCAUCAUUAACACAACUGCACCUAAAUAUUUAUAGCUGACACCGAACCUCCGGCAUGAAACAGUUUGUUUCAUAAACAUUUCUAUUUUGAGCCAUUUGACUGGCCUUCUUUGGCUCCAUCAGUUUCAGAGAAUUCAAGUUCUACCUUCUUUGACAUCUAUCUCUGCCAUGCCCCAGAGAUGGCACAACAAGAUCAAGAAAUAAUAAAGCAUCUUUCUUUCUUCGAUUUUCUUCGAUUUGCAGAAAGCAAGAUCUGAGAAGCAGCUCGAAUGAUUUACCUCCUAUGUUGCCAACAGCAACGGUUCUUUUACUGGAUCCAAACGCAUUGGCCAAAACAAUGAGUGCAGGAUAGCAGGUGUUUAUUACAGCUGAAUUACAGACAAAAUAAGCAAUGCUUACACCCCUUUUGUCAAUGGGAACCCCUCAGAACAGCAAUGGGCAGACUCCUAUGGAUGCACUUUCAGUCUACAUGAUAUUUGUUGAGAGUUUCUGGAACAUGAAAGUUUUCACUGUGCUAUAGCCCCCUGCCAUGGUAAUUGCUUUAGGGUUGCCAUAUGUCCGGGGAAACUCGGACAUGUCCUCUUUUUUAAUAAUAAUAAUAAUAAUAAUAAUAAUAUUUUAUUUAUACUCCGCCCUUCCCGGUUCAGAAAACUGGGCUCAGGGCAGCUAACAACAAAUCUAAAAAUUGAUGCAACAAAAAACAGCAUAAAAUACAGUAUAAGACGUGAAUAAUAAUUUCAGAAUUCAAAAGUCAAUUUAGGGGGGAAAUCCAUCCAAUAACCAUUAGAUGAUCACCAGGGCUAGCUGGCUAAAUUAGUCCUAUUUGGGCCAGCGAGGAGACCAGGGGAGAAUUAGCUGUGGGAUCCCUGAGCGGGUAAUCUUCAUAAAAAGGGGAGGGGGAGGGAAGGAAGGGGAAUAAAAGAUCAGGCUAAGUUCAAAUUGAAAGCCAGGCAGAAUAGCUCUGCCUUACAGGCCCUGCAGAAGGAAGUUAAAUCCUGCAGGGCUCUGGUCUCAUGGGACAGAGCAUUCCACCAGGUGAGAGCCAUCACUGAGAAGGCCCUGGCCCUGUUGGAGGAUAAUCUGACUUCCUUAGGGCCUGGGACCUCUAAACUAUGAUUAUUCAUGGACCUUAAGAUCCUCUGCAGGGCAUACCAGGAGAAGCGGUCCCAUAAAUAUGAGGCCAGCAUGCCCAUCCCAGCAGAUAUUUACAUUUUAAAGGAUAUGUCCGGGUUUGCACACCACAGCCACUGCCAGCCCGAGUCAGGGAAAGAGGCAUGCAGGCACAGAGGCAGCAGCCCUGUGCACCCGCACCCACAUGCCUCUUCCCCCCAGGCUCGGGCUGGCAACAGCUCAGGCUGUCCCCUUCUUUGCUCUUUGAGAUAUGGCAGUCCAAAAUUGCUUCUGCCUGCUGAAAUGCCCAUCCAGUUUUGAACAACCAGUGAUCUUGGUUCACCCCUAUUUCAAAUACAGUCAUACCUUGGUUCUCGAACAGAAUGCGUUCCGGGAGUCGAUCGGACUGUUUGAAAACCAAGGUGUAGCUUUCGAUUGGCUGCAGGAGUGUCCUGCAGCCAAUCGGAAGCCGCAGAAGUCGUGCCAGAUGUUCAGCUUCCCAAAAUUGUUCAAAAACCGGAACACUCAUUUCCAGGUUUUGAUCGUUUGGGAGCCGAUUUCUUUGAGAGCCAUGGUGUUUGAGAUCCAAGGUAUGACUCUAGUUAAUAAUAAUAAUAAUAAUAAUAAUAAUUUAUUAUUUAUACCCUGCCCAUCUGGCUGGGUUUCCCCAGCCACUCUGGGCGGCUUCCAACAGAAAUAUUAAAAUACAAUAAUCUAUUAAACAUUAAAAGCUUCCCUAAACAGGGCUGCCUUUAGAUGUCUUCUAAAAGUUUGGUAGUUAUUUUUCUCUUUGACAUCUGGUGGGAGGGCGUUCCACAGGGCAGGUGCCACUACCGAGAAGGCCCUCUGCCUGGUUCCCUGUAACUUGAUAAUAUUAAUAUUUGACCCGCAAUUCUCAUGGCAAAAUAUUAACAUGAACCUAAAGGCUGACUCUGGAUCAAGAAAAACUCUGGACCCUGAAAAUGGUUGAGUUGCACCCCUUUCAAAAGAACUCGUCCAGGAGAGGUUCCAAUUGGGCACAACAUGAUUUAUUCUGUUAGCUUGACAAAAGCUCUCAUUAUUUCAAGGACUUUCGCUUCACGGUCCAGCAAAAGAACCAGUCCCUGUGAGGGCCAAUUCAUGAUCCAAUGCUUUAAAUUGGAUCAAUAGUUCAGACAAUUGCCGGCGUAACCCAAAGUCGGUUGUAGCAGUAGAGAAUGGCCUUCCAAUCUGUUGUCUGCGUCAAGCAGAAGUCCUCACAAUAAAAUCUUGAUGUUCUUUAUCUCAACAGUUGAGUUUGGUACAGAACCAGUAUGAAUCCUGGCAUGAGAACUGUAAUGUAACUUGUGGGCUGAGAGAGGAAAUAUCGCAUGCUGGAGUUGUGAAGAUAAUGUGUGAUCAUUAUUAGUAAUGCCAUUUUACAGGAAAAUGUCAAAGAGUAAAAUUUAGAAGCAUCUGCCUUCUAUCAUUAGGCAACAUGGAUACAAUUUGAUCCAAAGGCUUAUGCUAUUAUGUUUGUGCCUAUUUCAUAUCCGAUUAUAUUAGCAAUAUUUAAUUGUGUACAGUCGUACCUUGGAAGCUGAACGCCUUGCCACUCAAACAUUUUGGCUCCCGGACGCUGCAAACCCGGAAGUGAGUGUUCUGGUUUGCAAACGUUCUUUGGAACCUGAACGUCUGACAGGGUUUCCACGGCUUCCAAUUGGCUGCAGGAGCUUCCUGCAGCCAAUCAGAAGCCUUGCCUUGGUUUCUGAACAUUUUGGAAGUUGAACGGACUUCCAGAACAGAUUCUGUUUGACUUCCGAGGUACAACUGUACAGUGAAUGGGCGAUCAUCUUUGGGGCCAAGAACACCCCAGCUGCAAAGAUUCCUUGUGUGUUGCCUGUAUCUUCAACAUCCAUUUGCUCCCCCUGAUCCUACUGAAAAAGUACAUCAUGGUGCCUUUCCAAACUGUUGCUCCUAACUUUCUCCCAGACAGCCACUUGAGCAAUUCGCUUUUCUAACGUUGGAGGAGGCCUGCUGGAACAAUUCACUUUGCUAUGAGAAGAGACAGAUACAAACAAUAGCUUCAGACUUUGUUAUCUAUGGCUAAAGGUUUCCCAUUUCUUUCUGUCCAGCAUAAGCAACCGUAAUCCUGUUAAGACAGAGAGCGCUGCGCAGACGUCAGACUUCAUUGCAUUACUCACCUUGAUGCAUUGGUUACUUUAUGUGAAACUGAAUUUUUUGAUGUUACAAAUGAUGCGUUUUUCCAUUCAAAUUCAGGAUAGACGGAGAAGGCCACUUUAAGGAGGGUCUCUUUCUCUGGCCUAGGAAGAAAUUCAGAAAACAAUAUCCUGGCUGCUUGAAUACUUAGGCACUGCUUCUAUUGAUGUCUGGGUUUUAUAUUGCAAAAAAUAAAAUCUCUUCAACAUGAUGAAUGGAGAUAUCUCUGCCUUCAUUGAAAUGCAGCAAUACUUGGAUGCCUUUGCUUAAAUGUACAUUGUAAAAAAUGCAAAAAUCAAAUUUCUAGCAACUGCUGAAUUUCCCAGUCGCAUAGCACGGCCGAUUCUUUCUCUCUGAGCACACCAUGUAUCCUCAGUAAAGAAAAUGCCCUGUGCAUGCAGUCAUAAUAUGUGACAUAUUGUUGUGAUUUAAGCAAAUAUCGCCUUGAAAAUUUUGCUACCCCCUGCCUCAGAAACCUCUCCUAUGCCAGUCCCACUGAAAUGAGUAGGAAGAGAGAUGCCUUGAGCUGAAUGGCAAUGAGAAAAAUGGAAGGGCCUUUUAUCAAUACAAAAAUACUGGUAUGCAAUAGACUAUAAGGACUAAACUACAGUGGAACAGUCUCCUUCGGGAGGUUGCAGACUCUCCUUCAUUGGAUGUUUUUAACUGGAGGUUGGAUGGCCAACAGUCUUGGAUGCUUUGGCUGAGAUUCCUGCAUCGCACAGGUUUGGGUAAGAUGAUCUUUGGGGUCACUUCCAACUCUACAAUUAUAUGAGAAAAGGAAGGCAUUUGUAGCCUUCCCACAAUAGCUAGGCAUUGUGAUGUGGGCACUUCUUCACUAUGUUUCACCGCUUCUUUUUGUUUAUAGCGAGCCUAUUAGGCUUGGCAGCUCAUAAACC